This is a long non-coding RNA of Paramisgurnus dabryanus, 832 nucleotides long. RefSeq lists it as uncharacterized. NCBI's taxonomy places the organism in Eukaryota, Metazoa, Chordata, Actinopteri, Cypriniformes, Cobitidae. The record is from RefSeq and is a predicted model, not a curated record.
AAUAGGCCUACUAAUAUUGCUGUCAAUACGUUCUCAUCUGCAACAAGGAAAUAAAAAAAAUUCUGUGUAUCCUCUGUGUAAUAACAGUGGAAAUGAUCGCCAACUUUACUUGUAGUUAAGACAUUAAGAAUCUGUAUAUGACCCAUAUAUGAAAACAGCGGGAGGAACGUGACUUGAGUAAUACGGAUCAGGUGAUUCAUAGAGACAUUCAGAGGAUCAUAACUGGAUAUCUGUCUGGGUCACUGGCUCAAACAUACACAAGCUCUUCCUCUGUCAGUCAGUCACUCAGAUCUGAUUUGUGCACCAUUACCCUCUAAAACUACAAAUGCAUCCUAUAUUGAUCGGUAUUGUGACUGCCAACUCAACUUUAACCAUUGUCUACUGGAACUUUCUUGUGUCUCAAGUGUUCUGCAAGAAACUGAAGGAUGCACCUGAACCAGAGGAAGUUCCUGUCUGAAUUAAGAUCUUGAUUCUGAUCUGGUCAUGAUGGAGAUGAAGACCCAACUAUAUCAUUGUGGGAGGAGGAAGAAAAGAAAAAUAAAGACUCAACAGAUGAAACCCAAAUGAGGACCAGAAGAGAAAUCUAAACCAUCAUCAGUUGCAAUCAUUACCAUGUGACACAUUGAACCAAAAAAUACACAUAUUGCUUAGAAUCUGUAGGAGAUGCAUUUUUGUAAAACAUUCUUACUGUUGAUUUGUUUGUAGUAACUUCAAGCAACUUCUUGUAUUAAUAAAUAUAACCAGUACAUUAAUGAUCUAUUUAGAAAAUAUAUUUGUUUUUGGAAAACUCUGGGUACAGCAUGUCUGUGGAUCACAAAACCAGUCAAGUAGC